CAGUCGCCACGGUAAUACGGAGGGCGCGAGCGUUACCCGGAUUUACUGGGCGUAAAGGGCGUGUAGGCGGCCUGGGGCGUCCCAUGUGAAAGGCCACGGCUCAACCGUGGAGGAGCGUGGGAUACGCUCAGGCUAGAGGGUGGGAGAGGGUGGUGGAAUUCCCGGAGUAGCGGUGAAAUGCGCAGAUACCGGGAGGAACGCCGGUGGCGAAGGCAGCCACCUGGUCCACUUCUGACGCUGAGGCGCGAAAGCGUGGGGAGCAAACAGGAUUAGAUACCCGGGUAGUCCCUGUCUCUUAUAU
Molecule: ribosomal RNA, 301 nt
Filed under: uncultured bacterium
Lineage: Bacteria
Description: partial 16S ribosomal RNA
Rfam family: Bacterial small subunit ribosomal RNA
Source: RNAcentral